Molecule: non-coding RNA, 602 nt
Organism: Phyllostomus hastatus (greater spear-nosed bat)
Lineage: Eukaryota; Metazoa; Chordata; Mammalia; Chiroptera; Phyllostomidae
Source: the annotation of a RefSeq genome assembly
CAGACGUCCAGCUCUGAGCCUCAGGCUGACAUAAAGUCUGAAGACGCAGGCCUGGCUGUGGAGCUCAGGAAGCAGAAUCUGGGGGCGUCUCUACCAUGGACUGGGCUGCACUUCUCCUCACUGUCCUGGCUCACUGCACAGGGUCUUGGGCCCAGUUUGUGCUGACUCAGCCUGGCUCUGUGUCUGGGUCUCUGGGACAGAAGGCCACCAUCUCCUGCACCCGUAGCAGUGGUAACAUUGGGAGCAGCUAUGUGCAGUGGUACCAACAGCGCCCAGGCAGGGGCCCCACCACUGUGAUCUAUGCUGAUGACACAAGACCCUCUGGGGUUCCAGAUCGGUUCUCUGGCUCCAUAGACAGUUCCUCCAACACUGCCUCCCUGACCAUCUCCAGGCUGCAGCCUGAAGACGAGGCCGACUACUACUGUCAGUCUUACUAUGGUAGUGGUGGUAGCUACAAUCACACAGUGCUGCAGACUCAGGGGGAAGUGAGACCAAAACCCCAGAGCUUCCCCUUCUGGGUCUGCACUCAGUCUGUCCCCACCAAGCAAGUGCCCUCUUCUGUCUCCUUCUGGAAAUUUUGUGUAGAGAUUGGAGGUUUCUGA